This 21-nucleotide non-coding RNA is filed under the name Caenorhabditis elegans. The record is from RNAcentral. Lineage: Eukaryota; Metazoa; Nematoda; Chromadorea; Rhabditida; Rhabditidae.
UUGGGUCCCAUCCGCUUUUUG